Etheostoma spectabile (orangethroat darter) is the source of this 107-nucleotide long non-coding RNA. RefSeq lists it as uncharacterized. NCBI's taxonomy places the organism in Eukaryota, Metazoa, Chordata, Actinopteri, Perciformes, Percidae. The transcript is spliced from 3 exons. The record is from RefSeq and is a predicted model, not a curated record.
CCUGUUUUAAUAACUUGUAUACCAGGUAUACAAGCUCUAAAAAGACAUUAACAAUAUGUGUAUCUUCAUCAUAACAUUUAUUCAAAGAUUUCUAUAUACUGUACACA